AUUGAACGCUGGCGGCAUGCCUUACACAUGCAAGUCGAACGGCAGCACGGGAGCAAUCCUGGUGGCGAGUGGCGAACGGGUGAGUAAAGUAUCGGAACGUGCCCAGUCGUGGGGGAUAACGUAGCGAAAGUUACGCUAAUCCCGCAUACGAACUAUGGAUGAAAGCGGGGGAUCGCAAGACCUCGCGCGAUUGGAGCGGCAGAUAUCAGAUUAGGUAGUUGGUGGGGUAAAGGCUCACCAAGCCGACGAUCUGUAGCUGGUCUGAGAGGACGACCAGCCACACUGGGACUGAGACACGGCCCAGACUCCUACGGGAGGCAGCAGUGGGGAAUUUUGGACAAUGGGCGAAAGCCUGAUCCAGCCAUGCCGCGUGCAGGAUGAAGGCCUUCGGGUUGUAAACUGCUUUUGUACGGAACGAAAAGGUUUGGCCUAAUAAGCUGAGCUCAUGACGGUACCGUAAGAAUAAGCACCGGCUAACUACGUGCCAGCAGCCGCAGUAA
RNAcentral lists this ribosomal RNA (500 nucleotides) under uncultured bacterium. Its description in RNAcentral is "partial 16S ribosomal RNA". It matches the Rfam family "Bacterial small subunit ribosomal RNA", at positions 30 to 523 of the family's 1533-position model. The record is from RNAcentral.